Molecule: ribosomal RNA, 482 nt
Filed under: uncultured bacterium
Lineage: Bacteria
Description: partial 16S ribosomal RNA
Rfam family: Bacterial small subunit ribosomal RNA
Source: RNAcentral
AUUGAACGCUGGCGGCAUGCUUUACACAUGCAAGUCGAACGGUAACAGGCCGCAAGGUGCUGACGAGUGGCGAACGGGUGCGUAAUGCAUUGGAACGUGCCCAGUCGUGGGGGAUAACUACUCGAAAGAGUAGCUAAUACCGCAUACGAUCUAUGGAUGGAAGCGGGGGACCGUAAGGCCUCGCGCGAUUGGAGCGGCCGAUGUCAGAUUAGGUAGUUGGUGGGGUAAAGGCUCACCAAGCCAACGAUCUGUAGCUGGUCUGAGAGGACGACCAGCCACACUGGGACUGAGACACGGCCCAGACUCCUACGGGAGGCAGCAGUGGGGAAUUUUGGACAAUGGGCGCAAGCCUGAUCCAGCAAUGCCGCGUGCAGGAAGAAGGCCUUCGGGUUGUAAACUGCUUUUGUACGGAACGAAACGGCUCUGGUUAAUACCCGGGGCUAAUGACGGUACCGUAAGAAUAAGCACCGGCUAACUACGUG